CUUAUAAUUGCAUGAUCAUUCCCUAUUACUCACGACUUGUUGUUUACCCAUUGAAACCUAAUUCUUGGGAUCUCCAGUCUUUUAGGUUGGGUUACCAUCAUAAGUAAUUCUCAGUAGGCAUUAGUCCCAUCUUCUUGGAUGUAUUAUGGACUUCAUUUUAGCUAUUCCUUUCGUCAAAGGAUAUGCUAAACUUUCAUCAGUGUGUACAUGACCC
RNAcentral lists this long non-coding RNA (214 nucleotides) under Trifolium pratense (red clover). RNAcentral describes it as "long non-coding RNA (TPRA_LNC003917)". Lineage: Eukaryota; Viridiplantae; Streptophyta; Magnoliopsida; Fabales; Fabaceae. The record is from RNAcentral.